RNAcentral lists this ribosomal RNA (119 nucleotides) under Pteropus alecto (black flying fox). Lineage: Eukaryota; Metazoa; Chordata; Mammalia; Chiroptera; Pteropodidae. The record is from RNAcentral.
GUCUAUGGCCAUGCCACCCUGAACAAGCCUGAUCCUGUUUGAUCUCGGAAGCUAAACAGGGUUGGGCCUGGUUAGUCCUUGGAUGGGAGACCACCUAGGAAGACCAGGCGCUGUAGGCA